CAGUCGCCGCGGUAAUACGAAGGGUGCAAGCGUUAAUCGGAAUUACUGGGCGUAAAGCGUGCGUAGGCGGUUUGUUAAGUCUGUUGUGAAAUCCCCGGGCUCAACCUGGGAAUGGCAAUGGAUACUGGCAAGCUAGAGUGUGUCAGAGGAUGGUGGAAUUCCCGGUGUAGCGGUGAAAUGCGUAGAGAUCGGGAGGAACAUCAGUGGCGAAGGCGGCCAUCUGGGACAACACUGACGCUGAAGCACGAAAGCGUGGGGAGCAAACAGGAUUAGAGACCCCUGUAGUCCCUGUCUCUUAUAA
RNAcentral lists this ribosomal RNA (301 nucleotides) under uncultured bacterium. RNAcentral's name for it is "partial 16S ribosomal RNA". It matches the Rfam family "Bacterial small subunit ribosomal RNA", at positions 509 to 809 of the family's 1533-position model. The record is from RNAcentral.